AGCAGCCGCGGUAAUUCCAGCUCCAAUAGCGUAUAUUAAAGUUGUUGCAGUUAAAAAGCUCGUAGUUGAAUUUCGGGAUCAGUAUGUCGGUCGUGCCUCCGGUAUGUACUGGCGUCACUGGUUCCUCCCUUCUGACGAACCAUCAUGCUAUUAAUUUAGUGUGGUGGGAAAUCAGGACUGUUACUUUGAAAAAUUAGAGUGUUUAAAGCAGGCUCACGCUUGAAUACAUUAGCAUGGAAUAAUGAAAUAGGACGUUGAUCCUAUUUUGUUGGUUUCUAGGAUUGACGUAAUGAUUAAUAGGGAUAGUUGGGGCAUUAGUAUUCAAUUGUCAGAGGUGAAAUUCUUGGAUUUAUUGAAGACUAACUACUG
RNAcentral lists this ribosomal RNA (369 nucleotides) under uncultured Glomeromycotina. RNAcentral describes it as "SSU rRNA". It matches the Rfam family "Eukaryotic small subunit ribosomal RNA", at positions 569 to 945 of the family's 1831-position model. Lineage: Eukaryota; Fungi; Glomeromycota. The record is from RNAcentral.